UCCGUAGGUGAACCUGCGGAAGGAUCAUUACAGUAUUCUUUUUGCCAGCGCUUAAUUGCGCGGCGAAAAAACCUUACACACAGUGUUUUUUGUUAUUACAAGAACUUUUGCUUUGGUCUGGACUAGAAAUAGUUUGGGCCAGAGGUUUACUGAACUAAACUUCAAUAUUUAUAUUGAAUUGUUAUUUAUUUAAUUGUCAAUUUGUUGAUUAAAUUCAAAAAAUCUUCAAAACUUUCAACAACGGAUCUCUUGGUUCUCGCAUCGAUGAAGAACGCAGCGAAAUGCGAUAAGUAAUAUGAAUUGCAGAUUUUCGUGAAUCAUCGAAUCUUUGAACGCACAUUGCGCCCUCUGGUAUUCCAGAGGGCAUGCCUGUUUGAGCGUCAUUUCUCUCUCAAACCUUCGGGUUUGGUAUUGAGUGAUACUCUUAGUCGAACUAGGCGUUUGCUUGAAAUGUAUUGGCAUGAGUGGUACUGGAUAGUGCUAUAUGACUUUCAAUGUAUUAGGUUUAUCCAACUCGUUGAAUAGUUUAAUGGUAUAUUUCUCGGUAUUCUAGGCUCGGCCUUACAAUAUAACAAACAAGUUUGACCUCAAAUCAGGUAGGAUUACCCGCUGAACUUAAGCAUAUCAAUAAGCGGAGGA
RNAcentral lists this ribosomal RNA (639 nucleotides) under Debaryomyces hansenii. RNAcentral describes it as "eukaryotic LSU rRNA". The stretch from base 230 to 383 matches the Rfam family "5.8S ribosomal RNA". The record is from RNAcentral. Lineage: Eukaryota; Fungi; Ascomycota; Pichiomycetes; Serinales; Debaryomycetaceae.